This 350-nucleotide ribosomal RNA is filed under the name uncultured bacterium. Its description in RNAcentral is "bacterial SSU rRNA". It matches the Rfam family "Bacterial small subunit ribosomal RNA", at positions 917 to 1267 of the family's 1533-position model. The record is from RNAcentral.
GGGCCCGCACAAGCGGUGGAGCAUGUGGUUUAAUUCGAUGCAACGCGAAGAACCUUACCUACUCUUGACAUCCAUAGAACUUUUCAGAGAUGAAUUGGUGCCUUCGGGAACUAUGAGACAGGUGCUGCAUGGCUGUCGUCAGCUCGUGUUGUGAAAUGUUGGGUUAAGUCCCGCAACGAGCGCAACCCUUAUCCUUGUUUGCCAGCACUUCGGGUGGGAACUCCAGGGAGACUGCCGGUGAUAAACCGGAGGAAGGUGGGGACGACGUCAAGUCAUCAUGGCCCUUACGAGUAGGGCUACACACGUGCUACAAUGGCGCAUACAGAGGGCGGCCAACUUGCGAAAGUGAG